GCGUCCGUUUCUGUCCCGACUCUGCAGGCCCCCGCUGAGAUAAGCCUGGAGUAAGUCGGUCUUGUGGAGUUUCCGCCUCAGCUGGCCAUUCUCACCCUUGGAUGCUCCAUCCCAGUCGGAAGGUGAAAACAAGGCCACGUCAGUCUCCUGGAAGAUGGGCGAUCCUGUGGAGGAGACCCGAGGGACUCCAGUUACCAGCCAGUCAGCCAUUCAGCUUCUUGCCUAGCCAACCCAGAGCUGACCACCAAUGUACAACAUAACUUAGCCAACACUGCAAAACCAUCCUAAAUUGUUGAUGCACAGAAUUUUAAGCUUAACGUGUUUCUAUUAUCUUAACACUCUGUAUUUCGGGGCAGUUUAUUCCACAGCAAGAGUAACUGAUUCAACUCUGCAACUGCGGACUUCUUAUCAAAACUCACAUGGCUUCAGCCUUUUCAUCUGUGAUAUGUGGAUAAAAUCAACUUGAGGAUGUAAUCAUAUUAACAAACGAACGUUUAAAACAUAUAGAACCUAGUAGGGUUCCAACAAAUAUUUUAAGUGAAUGAAUAAAAGGUGAGUAUUCAAGAAACCUUUUCCAAAAACAAAAAGUAUAAUGAUGAUGAUACCUGAGGGGACUUUCACCACACAGACUUCUGGGACUGGGGAAACCCGAGGUUCAGGGAAGCCAUCAGUGAAGUAAGAUGGAAACCGCUUGCCUUGCCAGGAACGUACAUGACUGGGAGCAGCCAGGCUGUUAUUGCAGAUCUAAUGGAAGAGAAAGUGCUUCCACUGCUCAUUCCACAGCCAAACCACAGAUCCUGGCAACUCCUCGCCUCUGAGGCAACAAAGACACAUUCACAGGGCUUGGCUUCUUUCUUCCGAAAUCUACACCUCAAGCUACAGAAGUCAGUCACGCGAGGCUGGCCUGCUGGGACCAGCUGGGAAAUCCAUCCAUGGCUACUGCUGAGAUCUCUGGCCUCCCUUCCCUCCUCCCGUGUGUCCACACAUGUGAGUUCUGGGAAUGCCUGCUAAUGACAGGACUGAUAGUUUCUUCUGUUUUGCUUCCAGGAAUCUUUUUUUUGGGUCUGAAGCUCUUGAACCAGGAGAGAGAAUUACCUUUUACCACUUGAGGGACACCUUGUGGACAAUCCAUCAAGAAUUCCGUAAUAUCCAGUGAACAGAUAUUUUGAGAGCCAACAAAUUGUCAGGCCUUGUUUCAGGUCUUAGAGAGGCAAAGAUAAAGAAGAUUAGAGCUUCCUUUUCUUUUUAUUAUCCACCAGACCAAAGGAAUGGCCUGGGGACUUGGUGCAAGGCAGGAAGUGUCAGAAGACCUGGAUGUGGCUCCUGCCUCUGCCAGGUGAUCAUGGAACAGUCGCCUAUGGUUGCUGAGCCUCAGUUUCCUCAUCUGUAAAGUUAGUGAUGGGCCUAGAUGACCUCGCUGCCCUGUGCACCUCUAACGUUAGAUGUUGGCAAGCCUGUGGGCACCGGCAAAAUCAUCAGUUACUGGAAUAAUCUUGUUUCCGUGUUCUCAGAAAAGCCUGGCCACCUGAUUUUUCCUUUUAUAAUUAUUAUGUCAUAGUUGAUAUUGGCAAAAGAAUGUAACUAUCACACAGGUAAUGAUGAACAAGAAUAGCAACAGGAAGAUCUGUGGGCCUUAGCGAUCACAGCCAAUACCAUUGCUUCAGCUUGUGGGCUCCUUUCCUGUACCACGCCCUGCCUACCCCAAGAAGUGACCAGCAUUCUGAAUUUUAUUUCUAUAAACCCCUGGUUUUAAAAAGGCAGAAUACUGUUGGGAGGCGGCUGCCCAGCUAGAAAUGACAUUUACUCAUCUCGUUCAUCCAGGAGAGAAUAAACACAGGGACCUGGGAGUCAGCAAGGUGUCCCUGAAAAAGUAGAACCUGUUCCAAGAACAGAAAGGACUCAUCAGCCU
Eubalaena glacialis (North Atlantic right whale) is the source of this 1909-nucleotide long non-coding RNA. RefSeq lists it as uncharacterized. The record is from RefSeq and is a predicted model, not a curated record. The transcript is spliced from 4 exons. NCBI's taxonomy places the organism in Eukaryota, Metazoa, Chordata, Mammalia, Artiodactyla, Balaenidae.